RNAcentral lists this unclassified non-coding RNA (2224 nucleotides) under Cyanidioschyzon merolae strain 10D. RNAcentral's name for it is "hypothetical transcript". The record is from RNAcentral. Lineage: Eukaryota; Rhodophyta; Bangiophyceae; Cyanidiales; Cyanidiaceae.
AUGCGGUGUGUGCGGGAACUGGUCAACCAGCGCCACUUUCUCCAGGCGAUACCAAGGUGCAUCUCGCAAGAGUAGGUCUAGGUCACGCGUCUGGCUCGCUGGAUUACAGGACACGUAUACAAGGCGGCGCGGUCGUAGUGCCGGCGGUGCACCGGCGAUCGCUUUGAGCUGCCGCGGGUGCACGCCGGCACGCGGCGGGUCCAUUACCAGCAGGUCCACUGGAUGUUGCCGCGCCAGCGGCAAGUGUCGAAAGAUGACUUGCCACAAGUUCUCUUUCUCCAGGUCCGUCACUUGAAAAACCGUGUUUGUGCGUGCAUUGAGUCUGGCGUUCGUGCGGGCGUCAUCGACGGCACUCGCCACGAGCUCCAGUCCCAGAACUUGCUCGGCGAAAGGUGCCAAGCAAAGCGCAAUGGUGCCAGUGCCGCAGAAGAGGUCCACAACGAGCGCACCGGUGUCUUGUCUGGCCUGCGGGCUCGACACGGCAAGCUCGGCAGAAGACUCUGCAGCGGGUGACACCUGACCGACGCUCGGCUGUUCCAGGAGGCCGCUGUUCUCCAGAACAACCGCCAUGAGCCGUUCAGCUUGUGCUGGAUUCGUCUGAAAGAAGGAAUUCGCGGAAAUCUGAAAGUUGAUGCCCGUCUCGGACCAGGAGCUGGUUUGGAUUCGAGAGCGCACGUGGCGAAGCGGACGCAGGCACUGUUCGAUGGUAUCCUGGGUACCUGCCAGGCGUCGUUGGCUCUCUCCGACCGCAACUCCGGAGCGAUUGCUGGUAAUGUUUUGCAGCACGCAAACAAGGCCACGAUUGGUCUCACCGAAAGCUUUCCACAGCGCAGCCGCAACGUCCUCCAGUGCAGCCUGCUGGUGAGCGUCUGCCGGUGGGCUCGUGACUAGGUUGACCAUCACCUGCGUCUGAUUGUGUCGGUCUUGAGCUGUCCGAAUGACCAGGUUGCGCAGGAAACCAACGUGUUCCACGAGGUCGUAGGGCGGCAAGAGCGUCUCGGCCAGCGGUCGACAAUGACGCUCGACGAAGCGAAGGAUUUCGUUCGCGACGUCGAUCUGAAGUGCGCAGUCCUCAAUGCAGAGCACCUUAUCGUAGCGUCGCGGUACGUGCAGUCCCAGCGCAAACCCAGUGCGCAUGUCCUCACCGCUUUCCGGAGCUGUGUCCGUCCCGGGUCGUUUCCUACCAGAACUAACCGUGUUUUCGUCUCGCGUGGACGUGUCCCGGCCCUGACGCAGCGUGACCUUUCCGCUAUCGUCUGCUGUAUUCGGUUUCGGACGCCAUACACGAGUUCCAAAGGUGAAAUCCAUCUUGUUCCGAUACGCGUAGAGUCCUGUAGGCACCGUUGCUCCUACGGCCGGUAAGAACUCUACCGAUGCCUCAGAUGCAAGUCCAUCUGUCUCCAGACGGCGGAGCAAGGCCCGAUACAUGUCACGAACUUGCUCCUCCUUCUCGGACAACUGUUUUGUGUAGAUCAAGUUCUGAAACUUGCAGCCUCCACAACCUUCGAGGAAGUGUCGACACAGUGGCGCAGUUGCGAACAUCGAGGGUGGAUCUAGGCGUUCCACCACUAUCGCCUCCGCAUGGUUACGUUUCCGACGAAUGAUGCGAGCACGCACUCGUUCUCCUGGAAUGGCGUUGUGGACGAGCACCACGAAUGACUCGUUCUCACUCAGUUGCAAACGACUGACGCCCAUGCCAGUACCGUGCGCCAGUGACUCGACAGCGAGCUCCACCAGGAGGCCGCGCGAGGGCGACUUUUGUGACGAGGGCGCUCCAGGUCCAUCGGUCGCUACCAUGGUAGCGCUAGAGAGUCGCUCGCCCGCUGAAAAGUGUCGAGUUUGACGACUCCUGUGACACGGACGCUGCCAGACGCGUGCCCUGUAGAUAAUCGGUGAAAGCACUCGCGCAAAAGCAGGUUUUAGCGACACAGGUCUUUCGAAAAGUGAAACAUACGUUCGUUCGACCAGGACAGCACCAGUGCGAAUCUCUGUCCGCAUCCACGAGCAGUGCGAAAGGGCAAGUACUCGGAGCCUGGAAACACAGCGUCAGUGCCAGUUCGAGACUGAGCGACCUGCGUCCGUCUUGGUAGAGGUUUUCAACUUGGCAGGCUCGCGAAGCCGACUUUUCGGUUAAGGGACGCACUGUUGCUGCUCUUUAAUCCUAACGAGAGCUUGCCUCUUCAGCAGAGACUACCGCGUUCCAAUAGCCCCGCAGUAAAGUUCG